Long non-coding RNA from Helicoverpa zea (corn earworm), 704 nucleotides. RefSeq lists it as uncharacterized. NCBI's taxonomy places the organism in Eukaryota, Metazoa, Arthropoda, Insecta, Lepidoptera, Noctuidae. The record is from RefSeq and is a predicted model, not a curated record. The transcript is spliced from 3 exons.
AUUGUCUCUCCGCCUAUCGUGAGAGCGUUUCGAUCCCCCCUCGCGUUCAGUUAUUGACCCGUUGAGCUCUCGACGGCACUAGACGUUCUGCGCGCGCACCCUCUCACAGACCGGGCUAGCUUAGUCUAGCCUAGUCUAACAAGAUGCCUGCACCCUGCGACUCUUGUAAAGACACGUGCGGUGGCGGGGCAGCCGCGUGCGGUGCUAAUUGCACCUGCGGCCCCAACUGUGCGUGCGGCGAUGGCAAGCCCUCUGGUGGCAAGCCAUGCUGCCAGGGAGGCGGCAAAAAGUAAAAUGCAAACUUCAAUUCUAAACUACCCUUUCCAAAAUGAUGCUCUAUUUUAAAAUGAUAUAAUCCUUAUUAUAUAAUAUCGUAGAUUUAUUAGCCGUAUAUCUCAUAAUAAAAAAAUAAUGUAGUUCUCUUUAAAUUAUGAUUAUUAUCGAGGAAAAAUGUUGUGUCGUCAUGAAAUGAAGUAGUAUAUAAGAUGUUAGUAUUAAAAUGAUAUUAUAUAGCUUAACUAGGUUAGAUAACAUUCGUCUCUGCUUGUAAAAUUAAGUGUAGUUUAUAUGAUUGUCACAUUCAGUGUUUAGCUUCGUGUUUAAAGGGUUUAUCCUUAGUACUCGCAAUACUCAUUAGUUUAAGAAGUGGGCACGCACACACACGUCUGAAUUUGUGUAGUGUAUCUAGUAAAUAAGAAACCUAA